UUUUUUUUCAUUUUAAUAUUGUUUGCUGUGUUUGCUGAGUGGAGGGCACUAAUGAAUAUUUGAUACUUGCGUGAGGGGUCUCCUGUUCUAUGAAAAUCCGUCAAUUCGAUGGUUUGCCUUAUGCUCGUGUUCCAGUUUUCCCAGUUGGCUUCGCUGAAGUUCCAGCUGGGUGGUCGAUUUGAAGAUUGCAUUGGUUUGGUAACUAAUUGGAUGUGAAUUGGGAGGUGGUCGCUGCCUACAAAGGGUCCUCGUUUCAAUUCUGCUGUGGCGGCUAGGAGGUUGGCUAAUAUUCUUCCGCUGCGGUUGGGAUGGGUGCUUCUUGUGUCCCAUAGGCCAUGUCUUGCGUUGUAGUCGCCGCAGAAUAUGGUGUUGUUGCUGGUCAAUCUAUGCAAUUGGGUCAAUUCAUCCUCGUCGCACGCCUGGCCAUUUGGUCUGGCAGCUGAAGUUGUUUGAACUGGAGGGAUUUGUGAAUUAAUAUUGCCACGCCUCCUCCUACCUGGCCUACGCGAUUUUUAUUUACUGCAUAGUAUUGUUUGAAUUUUACGCUGAAUGAAUCUCUCCAGAACAUUUCGCAUAGUGUGACUAUGUGGGGUUUGUGAAGGUGCAAAUGUGCUUUGAAUUCUAUUAAAUUAGACUUUGUGAGACUUCUUGCGUUGUAUUGAA
Daphnia pulex (common water flea) is the source of this 663-nucleotide long non-coding RNA. RefSeq lists it as uncharacterized. NCBI's taxonomy places the organism in Eukaryota, Metazoa, Arthropoda, Branchiopoda, Diplostraca, Daphniidae. The transcript is spliced from 3 exons. The record is from RefSeq and is a predicted model, not a curated record.